GAUGAACGCUGGCGGCGUGCCUAAUACAUGCAAGUCGAGCGAACAGACGAGGAGCUUGCUCCUCUGACGUUAGCGGCGGGCGGGUGAGUAACACGUGGAUAACCUACCUAUAAGACUGGGAUAACUUCGGGAAACCGGAGCUAAUACCGGAUAAUAUAUUGAACCGCAUGGUUCAAUAGUGAAAGACGGUUUUGCUGUCACUUAUAGAUGGAUCCGCGCCGCAUUAGCUAGUUGGUAAGGUAACGGCUUACCAAGGCAACGAUGCGUAGCCGACCUGAGAGGGUGAUCGGCCACACUGGAACUGGGACACGGUCCAGACUCCUACGGGAGGCAGCAGUAGGGAAUCUUCCGCAAUGGGCGAAAGCCUGACGGAGCAACGCCGCGUGAAUGAUGAAGGUCUUCGGAUCGUAAAACUCUGUUAUUAGGGAAGAACAAAUGUGUAAGUAACUAUGCACGUCUUGACGGUACCUAAUCAGAAAGCCACGGCUAACUACGUG
Molecule: ribosomal RNA, 497 nt
Filed under: uncultured bacterium
Lineage: Bacteria
Description: partial 16S ribosomal RNA
Rfam family: Bacterial small subunit ribosomal RNA
Source: RNAcentral